This 207-nucleotide ribosomal RNA is filed under the name uncultured bacterium. Its description in RNAcentral is "partial 16S ribosomal RNA". It matches the Rfam family "Bacterial small subunit ribosomal RNA", at positions 568 to 774 of the family's 1533-position model. The record is from RNAcentral.
UGCGCAGGCGGUUGGGUGUGUCAGGUGUGAAAUCUCGGGGCUUAACCCCGAAACAGCGCUUGAAACUAUUCAACUAGAGUUUUGGAGGGGUAAGCGGAAUUCUAGGUGUAGCGGUGAAAUGCGUAGAUAUCUAGAGGAACACCAAAGGCGAAGGCAGCUUACUGGCCAAAUACUGACGCUCAUGCACGAAAGCGUGGGGAGCAAAAG